GCCUUGGGAGUUAGGGCUAACUUAAGUAAUUUUCUCCAGACCAGGCGCCGCACCAUUCUCCUCCUCCUCCGCGCUCACUGCUUUUUGGUCUGGUCAUCAAUUCUCAGUGUCAAUCCUCUCUUCGGUUGGUCUUCAAGCUCCUCUUCCAAGAUCAGUAUUCAUCACGACAUCACCGGUGUUUAUCAACCUGCAGUGGCAGUGUGGCUCAAUCAAACAAUUACUUAGUCCUUUCCACUCUUCUCUCUCGAACCGUUAUUCUAACUGCCGCCGGCUUUGAGAGGGUCUCUCGCUCUCCUUCUCCUUCUCCAAUCCACGAUAUCAAAGAACAGACCAAGCUAUUAUAGCUCAACUUUCUAUAAGCAGAUUCUAGUGUGAGACUCUGAUUCAAAGUAUACUACCAUUCAUUAUUUUAUGGUGCAAUGACACGAGUAUAAGGUUGUCCACAGCAUGGGAGGGAUUUGACUCUUCGUUGACUAUGCCAAAACAGAUGAAGUUGCGUUUAGUUGGCUAUUUCUCACAUCUUGUUGAUUUGAAAUUUAUUUAUUAUUUAUUAUUAUUAGUAUUAUUUUUUUUUGGCUACUCACCCACCCUGAUGCCCUAUUUAGACUGUAAUUUUAUUAGCAUGUUUCUUGUUUAUAUAUCACAUUAACCCACUGACAAAGUGGUAGGUUAGCGGUGUAAGCUUAUAUGAGGAAUGUAAAUAAUUCAUGCAUCUUAGCAUAGGCAAACCACUAAACCUGAAGAGAGCAUGGUUGUCUUCAGCUAUGUUUUUGGAUUGUUAAGGACUUUUGUAUUUGCUUUUUGAUGAAUUUUCUUUUUUAAA
Molecule: long non-coding RNA, 823 nt
Organism: Hevea brasiliensis (rubber tree)
Lineage: Eukaryota; Viridiplantae; Streptophyta; Magnoliopsida; Malpighiales; Euphorbiaceae
Exons: 2
Source: RefSeq, a predicted model, not a curated record